Non-coding RNA from Pelobates cultripes (western spadefoot toad), 85 nucleotides. The record is from the annotation of a GenBank genome assembly. NCBI's taxonomy places the organism in Eukaryota, Metazoa, Chordata, Amphibia, Anura, Pelobatidae.
GUGUGUGUGUGUGUGUGUGUAGUGUAUGCAGAGUGUGUAUGUGGAUUUGUAGGGUACACUCUGCAUACACUACACACACAUGUUA